AUACGGAGGGUCCGAGCGUUAAUCGGAAUUACUGGGCGUAAAGCGCGCGUAGGUGGUUCAGUCAGUCAGAUGUGAAAGCCCCGGGCUCAACCUGGGAACUGCACCUGAUACUGCUGAGCUAGAGUACGGUAGAGGGCAGUGGAAUUUCCGGUGUAGCGGUGAAAUGCGUAGAGAUCGGAAGGAACACCAGUGGCGAAGGCGACUGCCUGGCCUGAUACUGACACUGAGGUGCGAAAGCGUGGGUAGCAAACAGGAUUAGAUACCCUGGUAGUCCACGCCGUAAACGAUGUCAACUAGCCGUUGGGGGACUUGAUCCUUUAGUGGCGAAGCUAACGCGAUAAGUUGACCGCCUGGGGAGUACGGCCGCAAGGUUAAAACUCAAAUGAAUUGACGGGG
Molecule: ribosomal RNA, 396 nt
Filed under: uncultured bacterium
Lineage: Bacteria
Description: partial 16S ribosomal RNA
Rfam family: Bacterial small subunit ribosomal RNA
Source: RNAcentral